ACAGUCUCUUCUAGUCCUGCACCAGCAGACAUUACCACUAGUAAGUAAUACAGUUUUACUCUGGGUUACAUGCUACAAGUUUCAGAGCAAGAAUAUGCACUUAAUAUUUAAUUUCACCUUUUCUUUCUCACAGCAACAGACGCUGCUGAACCCGCAGAUGUAACAGCUUCAACAGUCUCUCCUACUGAUGGACCUGCAGAUGUAACCACUGGUAAGGAAAAUUGCAUUACUGUGGUGUAUAUGCUAUCAGUCUUUAGGGGAAAAAAAAUUAAAAUUCACAUGAAAUUUAAUUUUACCUUAUCUUUUCACAGUCUCUCCUAGUCCUGCACCAGCAGACAUUACCACUACAACAGCCACUGCUGAACCUGCAGAUGCAACAGCUUGUAAGUAAAAUUGCAUUAUCGGGGUAUAUGUGCUAUCAGUCUUGAGGAAAGGAAAAAAUAUUUCAAAUGCAUAUAAAAUUUAAUUUCAACUUUUUUUUCACAGCAACAGUCUCUCCUACUGCUGAACCUGCAGAUGUAACCACUGCCCCUGCAGAAGACACAACCCCUGGAGCAGAAGUCCCGACCGUGCCUACAACAGCUGAAAUCCCAGUGCCAAGUCCAUCUGCUGCAUCAGUCCCUUCAACUCCUGAAACAACAACCACUGCCACUACACAGCUCAUUCCCCUGCCUGAGUAUGUGAGGAUGAUGUUGCUGAAAUACCUAAAUAGCCUGUGCCAGCCAAGGAGACCUGGGAUGCCAAGAAUAAUAUUGGAAGGGUGUGUAAGUGACCCAACCUGUGGGAAUAACCCUUCAUCAGGCCAGAGGCUUUUCCAGCUCCGUUACAAAGCUCCUGUAAACCAUGGAAUGUGCCUACGGUGCAAAGUAUUAGGGUGCAACAUACUCCCUCCUCCCCGACCCUUCCCAGGGAGCUUAUUCCCUCCUCCCUUUCCCCGACCCUUCCCAGGGAACUUAUUCCCUCUUCCCUUUCCCCGACCCUUCCCAGGGAACAAGUUCCCUCUUCCCUUUCCCCGACCCUUCCCAGGGAACAAACUCCCUUCUUUCAGACCCUUCCCAGUGCACAGGCUCCCUGUUCCCCAGCCCUUCCCAGGCUUCAGGAGAAGAGCCAGAAGCACAAGUGAUGGAGUCGUUGUUGUCUUUGUCCCCAAUUAA
RNAcentral lists this long non-coding RNA (1154 nucleotides) under Taeniopygia guttata (zebra finch). RNAcentral describes it as "lncRNA (ENSTGUG00000023921.1)". Lineage: Eukaryota; Metazoa; Chordata; Aves; Passeriformes; Estrildidae. The record is from RNAcentral.